UGCCGGCGACCGGCGACGGGUGCGUAACGCGUAUGUAACCUACCUUUGACAGGGGGAUAACAUCGAGAAAUUGGUACUAAUACCCCAUAACAUCACCGGAGGCAUCUUCGGUGGUUGAAAACUCAGGUGGUCAGAGAUGGACAUGCGUUGUAUUAGCUAGUUGGUGAGGUAACGGCUCACUAAGGCGACGAUACAUAGGGGGACUGAGAGGUCAACCCCCCACAUUGGUACUGAGACACGGACCAAACUCCUACGGGAGGCAGCAG
This 266-nucleotide ribosomal RNA is filed under the name uncultured bacterium. RNAcentral's name for it is "partial 16S ribosomal RNA". It matches the Rfam family "Bacterial small subunit ribosomal RNA", at positions 86 to 354 of the family's 1533-position model. The record is from RNAcentral.